Molecule: non-coding RNA, 3714 nt
Organism: Aegilops tauschii subsp. strangulata
Lineage: Eukaryota; Viridiplantae; Streptophyta; Magnoliopsida; Poales; Poaceae
Source: RefSeq, a predicted model, not a curated record
GAAAACAGAGAAAAGGCCUGUCCCGAACUGCUCGAAAAGAAAAGGUAAAACACAACUCCCUCCCGAUCCCAUCUCCUCCAGCGCGUUGAACCAUGCCCCGCCGCCGCGCCAUGACCCGCCGUCGCACCAUGCCCCGCCGCCGCGCGCCACCACCCCAUGACCCGCCGUCGCACCAUGCUCCGCCGCCGCGCACCGCCACCCCAUGACCCGCCGUCGCACCAUGCCCCGCUGCCGCGCACCGCCACCCCAUGACCCGCUGCCGCGCGCACAUCCACCCCCUGCCCCGCCGCCGUGCGCCACCACCCCCUGUCCCGCCGCCGCGCGCGCGCAGGAUUCUACCGGCCGGAGCAGAUGCGAGCCGGAUCCAGCCUCCCCCCGAGCUCCGUCUUCUUCCCCGCCUCCCUCCCGCGAACCGAACGCCUCCUUCUGGGUGGUCCGGCACCGCUGCGUCUAGCGGUCCAACCUCGCCGCCCGAGGCCGUUCACCGUCGCAGCGCCUCCUUCCGUCCGCGCCACGGGCUCCCGUGCACGGCCCUUGCCGAAGCUGGUGCGCACGUCCCUGCCCACCUUUUCUCCCUCUCUGUUCCUGCACUCCAUGAAUUCUUGUUGAGUGCUCGUUACGUGUUUGCUAAAAUGUCUAAGUGCACUUUACUACUAGUUUUGAUGUGUUCACUGUUUAUUUGUAGCUACCUUGUGCUUGCUAAAUGUUACAGCUUACAGUACUUGGAGAAUUUUUCGUGUGUGAUCUGUACUUUAGGUGCUAAUCCGAGAAUUCGUGUCCUCGAGGAGUUCAUGUAUUACUACCAUAGGAGUUCAAACACUACACCAAGAAAAAGUUCACCACACGUACAUUUUAGAAAAAGGAUACUUUGGAAAGUUUACUGGAAAUAAUACUUAACAAGAGCCGCAUGUUUGUUUUACUGCCUAAAGGGUGAUCUGCUGUGAAGUUAAGCGAGGCAAGGCUAGGACAAGUCCGACUGUUUUUGAGUGGGAAGUUCUGGGUUCUGACUUACAUUUGAUGUAGGUGAGGGGCAACUACCCAAAAUUUCUUGAAUGAUUGGUUGUUCCAUUUCUCAGUUGUACAAUGAUGAUUUUCCCAAAAAGUUCCCAAUUUUUUUGAUCAAUUUCUCAGUCGGUUUCGUAGAUCCAAGAGUAAAUGAAUGCAAUGCUAAUUAUUUCACUGGCAUAGAAAAAUGUAGUACGUGGUUCUUGCUGGAAUCUAGAUAGCUUUCUUUGUCCUCGUUAAAGAAAUAUAGCCUGUAUUAUUGCUAAAAAUGUCUACAUUAGUUCAGACUCAAAAAGACCAUAAAGUUCAGAGGAAGACAAAAUUAGCAAGAGAACAAAAAAACAAGGUGGCUCACCACAGAAACCCCGGAAAACUGAGUGCGUAAAUCUAUUGAUUUUUAAUGGUUAGGAAUUUUGGGAGAGUAGAAACCUGGAAGAGCACUCUCAACCGUCCAGGAAGACAAUAACGACAACCAGUAUGAUGGAUGUGAGAGUUAUUUUGACAUUUCAUUGUACAGUGCUUCUCUUUCUGUAGUGUUGUGUGUUUUCAAGUGCUUGAUGAAAAUUGAUGUUCCAAGUAGUUCAUGUAUUACUGAGGAGUUCAUGUACUGCCUAGUAAGUAAACCUGUUCAACGAUGUAAGCCACGCAAGUUCGAAAGGAUUCACAUCAGUACAAACUCGAGGGGCAUGUAUUACCGUCCAGAGUACAAACUUCAGUUUACCAAGAAGAAGUUAAUGUAUUACCAUUUAGAGUUCAUGUAUCACUAUCCAGAAAAUAUAACUAUUGGUAUAGAAAAUGUUCAAUAUUUGUUCGAAAGCUACCUGCAAAAGAGAAGCCCUUCUUACAUCCAUUUAGAGGUCAAACCACGUGCACCGUCCUCAGUCCAACCCCAUGGCGUCAGGAUGAUCGAGCUCGUCGCAAGUAGCAGUCCAUGGCUGCCAUCUUCCACUUUCCUCUGCCUAGGUCCUUUCCUAUGGAGGUGCAAGGUUUCUACUCUUCUCCCUCCCAUGCUCUCUCUCACUGUCUGUGUUCAUGUGUACUGCUGCUUCAAUUUCUUUGUGAUGCAAAUGUUGUUGAUGAACAUUUUGUUUAAUAAAAAGCUACCAAAAAAAAUCAGUUUAUCUCGUUGUGAUUUUUUUUUGAAUUUUGCUCUGGUCUAGCAGUUCGACAUGUAUUCUACUUCAGUUUAGUACAUCGGAGUAUCAUGUACGUCAGUUCAGUUCAGUACGAAAACAUUAGAGAUUCGACAGACAUAAUCAUGUCGCACAAGUUCAAGUAUAGGUUGCAGGAAAAACAAGAUGCACAAGUUCAUCUUUUGUAUGCUUUUCAGUACAUCUACUUCCCAAUCGUGAGUCUGAUUUCCUUUGUGUUUCCAUCUUCUUCAUAUAGCACAAACAAUUCCUUGUGGUUAUGCUUGAGAAUGAGCACCAUACUGUCACUUGGUUAAUCAAUUUUGUAGAAAGUUCUCGGGGAUUUCUUUAUGUAGAGUUGUUGUUAACUUCAUAAUUAUACAGAUCAUGCAUUCUAUCCAAUGAGCCAUCAAUUAAAGCAAUUUCCAAAUAUAGAGAGGGAAAUAUACAAGAUUGCCAACUAAUAUAUACUCCCUCUGUAAACUAAUAGAUUCCCAACUAUAAUAAUUAUAUUUCUUUACGGAGAGAGUAUUAAUGCUCUGCUUAGCACAUUGCUUGUAGUUGUAUCAGUUACCUUUCUUUUGGAGUUAGGUAAUUAAUAAAUAAUCAAGAGGGAUGGUGCACCCUCACGACCGCUUGCCACCCCCACAGCUGCUACAAAUUCUUGUGUGGGUCGCCGUUCCCUACUCCGGCGUGUGUCACCAGCGUCAUGACCUCCCCCAGCCAGCCCCCACGGCUUGCCUCGAUGGUGCCCCCAAGCCUGUCUAGAACCACCAUGAUGAAUAGAAAUCCAUCCAACUAUUCACUUAUGGUCUCAUGAUCAUUUUCUUGAAAAAGUGUGACUUUUCUGCUGUACUCUCCUUGUUAUUUACUUGUCAAAAUUUAGUUUGAAUCCACUACAAUUUCCAUGAGUGGAUUUUUCUUCAAAACGGAAUUUCCAUGAGUGGAUUUAAAAAUCAACAAAUGUAAAGUUUUAAAAUGCAUACAACAACUACAAAAUAUCAAUUUAGUUCAGUCCAGUUUGUAAUGCUGCUCCACCUUCCGGUCAUUGACGAGCCCCUGGGCAGGCGCUUCCUCCUUCUCUCAGGUCUGCCUCCCUCUAACACUCUCAGUUCAAAUUUGCUAAUAUCUACAGUACUAGUUGGGGAACUUUGGUAGUUCAUUUUCCUAAUAUCUGCACGCUGCCCCUUCCUGCAGGACCCGACCCAACCACUGCCGCCAUGGCACGGCGCCUCCACCUCCCGGCGAAGGACCACCACCUCCCCGACGACAUGCCCAACCCCGACGAGGCCUGCCGGCCCUGGAGUUCCUCCCGCAACGCCUCGACCUCCUGUUCAUCCAUGGAUUCUUGCCAUCCACCACGCCAUCAGGAACACGAUUGGGCCGGGGGAGAAGGCAGAACCUCUGGGUGCAUGAUGGAAAUUUUUUGAAGUUCUUGUUUAGAUGUUCAGGAUAGCCUUCUCUCAUUUCAUUUAUGUUCAGGAUAGCAGGUGCAUGAUGGAAAAUUGUGUAUCAUGUACUCCCUAUGUCAACUUUUAUAAGAGCGUUUAGAAAGUGCAGUUCAAAUUUCGUAAGGCUA